UACGGGGGGGGCAAGCGUUGUUCGGAUUCAUUGGGCGUAAAGGGUGCGUAGGCGGUCGUGCAAGUCGGAUGUGAAAUCUCGGGGCUCAACCCCGAAACUGCAUUCGAUACUGCGUGGCUCGAGUACUGGAGAGGAGACUGGAAUUUACGGUGUAGCAGUGAAAUGCGUAGAUAUCGUAAGGAAGACCAGUGGCGAAGGCGAGUCUCUGGACAGUUACUGACGCUGAGGCACGAAGGCCAGGGGAGCAAACGGG
Molecule: ribosomal RNA, 253 nt
Filed under: uncultured bacterium
Lineage: Bacteria
Description: partial 16S ribosomal RNA
Rfam family: Bacterial small subunit ribosomal RNA
Source: RNAcentral